RNAcentral lists this ribosomal RNA (1014 nucleotides) under uncultured bacterium. RNAcentral's name for it is "bacterial SSU rRNA". It matches the Rfam family "Bacterial small subunit ribosomal RNA", at positions 39 to 1062 of the family's 1533-position model. The record is from RNAcentral.
GCGGCGUGCUUAACACAUGCAAGUCAAGGGGGCCCAGCAAUGGGCAACCGGCGAACGGUGCGUAACACGUGAGCAACCUACCGAAAUGUGGGGGAUAGCCGGCCUAACGGCCGAGUAAUACCGCAUACGCUCUCGAUGAGGCAUUUCAUUGAGAGGAAACCUACGGGACAUUUCGAGGGGCUCGCGGCCUAUCAGCUAGUUGGCGAGGUAACGGCUCACCAAGGCAACGACGGGUAGCUGGUCUGAGAGGAUGGCCAGCCACAUUGGGACUGAGAUACGGCCCAGACUCCUACGGGAGGCAGCAGUGGGGAAUCUUGCGCAAUGGCCUAACGGCUGACGCAGCGACGCCGCGUGUGGGAUGAAGCUCUUCGGAGUGUAAACCACUGUUGCCCGGGACGAAUAGCUCGAUUAAUCGAGCCUGACGGUACCGGGUGAGGAAGCACCGGCUAACUCCGUGCCAGCAGCCGCGGUAAUACGGGGGGUGCGAGCGUUGUCCGGAAUCACUGGGCGUAAAGGGCGCGUAGGUGGUUUGAUAAGGGUGUGGUGAAAGCCCGGAGCUCAACUCCGGGUCUGCCGUGCCGACUGUCAAACUCGAGGACUGUAGAGGCAGACGGAAUUCCGGGUGUAGCGGUGGAAUGCGUAGAGAUCCGGAGGAAGACCGGUGGCGAAGGCGGUCUGCUGGGCAGUUUCUGACACUGAGGCGCGACAGCGUGGGGAGCAAACAGGAUUAGAUACCCUGGUAGUCCACGCCGUAAACGAUGGGUACUAGGUGCCUGGGGGAGCGACCCUCUGGGUGCCGGCGCUAACGCAGGAAGUACCCCGCCUGGGGAGUACGACCGCAAGGUUGAAACUCAAAGGAAUUGACGGGGGCCCGCACAAGCGGUGGAGCAUGUGGUUUAAUUCGACGCAACGCGAAGAACCUUACCUAGGCUUGACAUGUACGAGUAAGCUCUCAGAGACGAGAGCCCCUCUUCGGAGAUCGUGCACAGGUGCUGCAUGGCUGUCGUCAGCUCG